Molecule: unclassified non-coding RNA, 350 nt
Filed under: uncultured Glomeromycotina
Lineage: Eukaryota; Fungi; Glomeromycota
Description: sequence contains 28S rRNA gene
Source: RNAcentral
AGAGUUAAAUAGUACGUGAAAUUGUUGAAAGGGAAACGAUUGAAGUCAGUCAUGCCGGCGGGAAUCAACUUAGGGGAAACUUUGAGUGCACUUCUUCGCUUGGCAGGUCAGCGUCGAUUUUGGACGUCAUAAAAUGAUUGGGGGAAGGUAGCUCCUUCGGGAGUGUUAUAGCCCUUGGUAGAUGUGAUGUCUGGGAUCGAGGAUUGCAACGGAUACCCUCCGGGGCUAGCCGCCUGAUCUCUAAUUGGUGUUGGGUUGCGGACAGCAUGCUGACCGUGAUCUGAUUACUGGUUAAAAGGUUAGAGUGUGCGUAAAUUCGUUAAGGACGCUGACGUAAUGGCUUUAAACGA